GACGAACGCUGGCGGCGUGCUUAACACAUGCAAGUCGAACGGAAAGGCCCCUUUGGGGGUCCUCGAGUGGCGAAAGGGUGCGUAACACGUGCGUAACCUGCCCUUGACUUCGGGAUAACGUUAGGAAACUGGGGCUAAUACCGGAUAGGAAUCCGGUCUGCACGGUGGGGGUUGGAAAGCUUCGGCGGUUUUGGAUGGAGUUGCGCCUUCUGAGCUUGUUGGUGGGGUAGUGGCUUACCGAGGCUUUGACGGGGAGCCGGCCUGAGAGGGCGACCAGGCACAGUCGCACUGGGAAUGAGCCCAGACUCCGCCUGGUGGCGGCAGUGGCGAAGAGUACACUAGGGGAGGAGGCCUGAUGCAGCAACCCCGCGUGCGGGAUGACGGCCUUCGGGUUGUAAACCGCAUUCUGCAUGGGCGAAGCUUGUGGUGACGGUACCUGCAGAAGAAGCACCGGCUAACUACGUG
Molecule: ribosomal RNA, 465 nt
Filed under: uncultured bacterium
Lineage: Bacteria
Description: partial 16S ribosomal RNA
Rfam family: Bacterial small subunit ribosomal RNA
Source: RNAcentral